UGGAUUAUAUUUAAAUAUAAUAUUUGAUUUGCAUUCAAAAGGUGUUUCAAAAAAACUAAUCUUA
Molecule: transfer RNA, 64 nt
Filed under: Typhlocyba sp. EMHAU-15062510
Lineage: Eukaryota; Metazoa; Arthropoda; Insecta; Hemiptera; Cicadellidae
Also listed under: 1 other name
Description: tRNA-Ala
Source: RNAcentral